GACGAACGCUGGCGGCGUGCUUAACACAUGCAAGUCGAACGGAAAGGCCCUGCUUUUGUGGGGUGCUCGAGUGGCGAACGGGUGAGUAACACGUGAGUAACCUGCCCUUGACUUUGGGAUAACUUCAGGAAACUGGGGCUAAUACCGGAUAGGAGCUCCUGCUGCAUGGUGGGGGUUGGAAAGUUUCGGCGGUGGGGGAUGGACUCGCGGCUUAUCAGCUUGUUGGUGGGGUAGUGGCUUACCAAGGCUUUGACGGGUAGCCGGCCUGAGAGGGUGACCGGCCACAUUGGGACUGAGAUACGGCCCAGACUCCUACGGGAGGCAGCAGUGGGGAAUAUUGCACAAUGGGCGGAAGCCUGAUGCAGCAACGCCGCGUGCGGAAUGACGGCCUUCGGGUUGUAAACCGCUUUCGCCUGUGACGAAGCGUGAGUGACGGUAAUGGGUAAAGAAGCACCGGCUAACUACGUG
Molecule: ribosomal RNA, 468 nt
Filed under: uncultured bacterium
Lineage: Bacteria
Description: partial 16S ribosomal RNA
Rfam family: Bacterial small subunit ribosomal RNA
Source: RNAcentral